GAUAAACGCUAGCGGCAGGCUUAACACAUGCAAGUCGAGGGGCAGCAUAGAUUGUAGCAAUACAAUUGGUGGCGACCGGCGCACGGGUGCGUAACGCGUUUGCAACCCACCCGUCACAGGGGGAUAAUCCGGAGAAAUCUGGUCUAAUACCCCAUAACAUAUGGAUCGGCAUCGGUUCAUGUUGAAAUUUUCGGAGGUGACGGAUGGGCAUGCGUAGCAUUAGCUUGUUGGUGAGGUAACGGCUCACCAAGGCGACGAUGCUUAGGGGGACUGAGAGGUUUUCCCCCCACACUGGUACUGAGACACGGACCGGACUCCUACGGGAGGCAGCAGUGAGGAAUAUUGGUCAAUGGGCGCAAGCCUGAACCAGCCAUGCCGCGUGCAGGAUGACGGCUCUAUGAGUUGUAAACUGCUUUUGUACGAGGGUAAAGUGGGUUACGUGUAACCUUUUGAAAGUAUCGUACGAAUAAGGAUCGGCUAACUCCGUGCCAGCCGCCGCCGUAA
RNAcentral lists this ribosomal RNA (504 nucleotides) under uncultured bacterium. Its description in RNAcentral is "partial 16S ribosomal RNA". It matches the Rfam family "Bacterial small subunit ribosomal RNA", at positions 28 to 523 of the family's 1533-position model. The record is from RNAcentral.